UAAGCAUAUCAAUAAGCGGAGGAAAAGAAACCAACAGGGAUUGCCCUAGUAACGGCGAGUGAAGCGGCAACAGCUCAAAUUUGAAAUCUGGCCCUCGCGGUCCGAGUUGUAAUUUGUAGAGGAUGCUUUUGGUUAGGUACCUUCCGAGUUCCCUGGAACGGGACGCCAGAGAGGGUGAGAGCCCCGUACGGUUGGAUACCGAGCCUCUAUAUAGCUCCUUCGACGAGUCGAGUAGUUUGGGAAUGCUGCUCUAAAUGGGAGGUAAAUUUCUUCUAAAGCUAAAUACCGGCCAGAGACCGAUAGCGCACAAGUAGAGUGAUCGAAAGAUGAAAAGUACUUUGAAAAGAGGGUUAAAUAGCACGUGAAAUUGUUGAAAGGGAAGCGUUUGCGACCAGACUUUUUCCGGGCGGAUCAUCCGGUGUUCUCACCGGUGCACUUCGCCCGGUUUAGGCCAGCAUCGGUUCUCCUAGGGGGAUAAAGGCGGGGGGAACGUGGCUCCUUCGGGAGUGUUAUAGCCCCCCGCGUAAUACCCCUCGGGGGACCGAGGAACGCGCAUCUGCAAGGAUGCUGGCGUAAUGGUCGCCAACGACC
This 591-nucleotide ribosomal RNA is filed under the name Daldinia sp. RNAcentral describes it as "eukaryotic LSU rRNA". It matches the Rfam family "Eukaryotic large subunit ribosomal RNA", at positions 35 to 649 of the family's 3401-position model. Lineage: Eukaryota; Fungi; Ascomycota; Sordariomycetes; Xylariales; Hypoxylaceae. The record is from RNAcentral.